This is a non-coding RNA of Chiloscyllium plagiosum (whitespotted bambooshark), 347 nucleotides long. Lineage: Eukaryota; Metazoa; Chordata; Chondrichthyes; Orectolobiformes; Hemiscylliidae. The record is from RefSeq and is a predicted model, not a curated record.
UAAGAUGUGACUUUUAAUUGAUUAGUCAAAGACCUUUAUGAGUGGGGACCAGUCUCUCUGUGCUUCCUGCAAACAGGUAAAUUUGGUGAAUAGAACCACGCACAGCACAUCAAGUGCAUCCUAUAUAAACUGUCACUGAAAAAAAAGGAAUCAAGCAGGAAAGACCCAAAUCGGUAUUAAGAAAUGUGUUGUUGACAGACAGUGCAAGAUGGCCCAUCAACAUGUUGUUCCUAGUCUUUGGAAUGGGACAGCUUCCAUGUAACACUGAGGCAUAUCAGGAUUAAUGGGCAGCAACUGUCCAGCUCGUGUCCCAGUAUGUGGAUCGCUUGCUGAGAUGAAGUCCGGGA